AUGGAUUGGAAUCCCAAGGUGCUUUGUUGGAACAUGAGGGGGUUGAAUAACCCAGCCAAGAGAAACGCGGUGAGGGAGUUCGUUGUGGAGGCCAAAGUUAACAUAGUGUGCUUACAAGAGACGAAACUGAAUGUAAUUGAACUUUUUAUAGCUAUGCAAUGUUUGGGGCCAUUGUUUGAUGGCUUUGCCUAUGUACCGGCAUUGGACACGCGGGGUGGGAUUCUCUUGGGGUGGGAUACGACGGUGUUGGAGGUGGAUAGCAUAGCCUUGGAUACCCAUUCGCUUACGGAGUUGGUUCAUAACAAGGAUGGGUCGGCUUGGUGGGUGACAGUGGUCCAUGGACCGCAAGGGGAUGAGGCGAAGAUGUAG
This 369-nucleotide ribosomal RNA is filed under the name Triticum aestivum (bread wheat). Its description in RNAcentral is "partial small subunit ribosomal RNA". The record is from RNAcentral. Lineage: Eukaryota; Viridiplantae; Streptophyta; Magnoliopsida; Poales; Poaceae.